RNAcentral lists this long non-coding RNA (1018 nucleotides) under Monodelphis domestica (gray short-tailed opossum). RNAcentral's name for it is "lncRNA (ENSMODG00000031317.2)". The record is from RNAcentral. Lineage: Eukaryota; Metazoa; Chordata; Mammalia; Didelphimorphia; Didelphidae.
UAAAGAUCGAUGAUGACCUAAUGCCCAGCCCGGUUUCAAAGGCCCAAGGGGGUGGGUCUUCAGCCUCCUCCCUCCUUCCCUCCCUCCCUCCAGGUUUAAUUAUCGGAAGAGUCUUUGGACUUUAGGAGACAGUAAAGAGAAAGAAGACCUGCAAAUGAUUAAACCAGAAACCCAAUGACCUUCCUCCGUGCUAGGAAGGAAUAUGGAGGAGGCAACAAGGUCUGCAGGCCAGGAACUCCCUGAAGGGGAUCCCGCCUAGGGACAGCCAGAAGGAGCUUGGGAAGAUUCAGGCAGAUUCCCGCUUCGGGGUUUGGGGGAAGAAGCUGAAUGACUGCAAAUCUUUGCUGGAAACCUACAGCCAAAAGGCUAUCUCUUUUAGAAACUCCAGAGUUCAAAUUCCAUCUGGCCCUCAUGCUUUUGCCAAGGCCAGGAUGGACCUCGUGGUUUUCCACAUAAGAAUGUUCUGCAUGUUUAAGAAAACAACACGAAUGCUAGACAUCCUGGCAUCUUCGCUCCUUGUGGGAGAGAUAGCUGAUGAAAGUGCAGAAGAGUGCAGUCAGGUGGGAAAUUAUGAGAUGGCUGCCUUGGGCAUCCUUUUUAACUGAAAGAUCUGGGAGAAAUUCACCACUGUCCAUAUUCCGCUCUCUUAAAUCAGAGACUGGCCACAGCAGCAGGGGUUAUUGAAGAAGUAUGAAUUUCAGAGCUAAUGUGAUCUUCAGGAUUAUGACAUUCUGGGAGGCGUGAUAAAAAUAUUGAAGUUGAAUAGAAAUGAUGAUAGAAUACUUGAAUCUUAGAGUGUUUGAAACUUAGUAAGGACUUAAUAGAUUUUUCCAACUGUUUAUUAAUUUUUAUGUAUUCAUUCUAAUUCUGGAUUAUCUUUGGGUUCCACUGACAUAGUUUAAAAUCUAGUUUUGAUAAUUUUUUUCAUAAGGUCUUAAUUUUGGAUGCAUAGAUGAUACUAGGUUUAAAUCCCAGGGCAAUGAAUAAAAGAAUGAAUGGAGGAAUGAAUGGAGGAAUG